RNAcentral lists this long non-coding RNA (617 nucleotides) under Danio rerio (zebrafish). RNAcentral describes it as "lncRNA (ENSDARG00000117765.1)". The record is from RNAcentral. Lineage: Eukaryota; Metazoa; Chordata; Actinopteri; Cypriniformes; Danionidae.
ACGGCGAACUACAUCAGUGUUAUCCAGCGGUGUGUGUAAUUAACAGGCCUCGGACGGUUACCUGUGUCAGAAAAGAGACAAAAACCCAAAUGGAAAAGUGUGUGUGUUCACUUUCUGUCUAUAACAAACGCACAGUAUUUCUCCUCAGUCAGCGGAGCGGGAAUCAUUGAGGUUGUCACGCGUUUCCUUGUGAAUGUGCUGACUCAAAACAAGCAGAUUCACACUUAUUAUCAUCCGCUACACACACACCAGCUUUCAGAGUUGAAAUCCAGCAACCUGCAGGAAUAUGACAGACAGUAAUGAUGGUUUGUCGAAGUAAUGAGAAGCUGCUCUGUCAGGGCACAAACGCACCGGCGUAUCCUGAGAAGAAUGACACCACUUAUUCCCCACACACAUCCCUCGUUUUUCUGCCCCUUGAGAGAAGCCAUCAGUCAUUACUGUCAGCAGUGAAGUUCCACCAUCAUCAUCAUCAUCAUCAUCAUCAUCAUGGUUUCAUUCAUUUCCACCCCCCGGCGUCCUGAAACAGAGACCGGACGACUGAUGAGUGGCUGAGAUCAACAGGUGAUCAUAAUCCCUUACCAUUCACCCACAUGAAGAUGCUAGAAUCCCCAUGUAGU